AAGAAAACCGAAAUAUUAAUGAUGAUUUUUCAUAAUAUUAACGAUAAUUUUUUAAAAAAUAUUAUAGUACGCAGGAAUAUAUUUAAUUUACACAUCCAAUAAUUCAAUAAAAUAAAAUAAUUAAUGCCGAAUCCAACGGCUCAAAAUCACCAGAUCACCAAUUUUUCAAUUUUCUUCUGGGCGACAUCGUUUUUCAUCAUCAUCUUCACAGUCAUCAUCUCCACUCUCACUAGAUCUCCACCACCUGCAACUCAAAUGGCGGACCCAGCUCUCCACCCAGAGACUCCUCCAUACCACAAAACCCAACCCCUCAAACAGAUCGCCAUCGACUACACUCCCGAUGCCUGUACUCACUGCUCCGAUUCCAAUUCCAUAACCCUCGUCUAUGACCACCGCGGAGGUGCACGGUGGAGGACCACCACGAGGUUCCUCUACGGCACUUUCAGCUCCCUCAUACAAUGCCCCAAGGGUAACACCAGCGGGCUCAAUUUCAACAUCUACCUCUCCUCCAUGGAAGGGGACAAGUCCCAGGACGAGAUUGACUUCGAGUUCUUGGGCAGAGAUAGGAAUUUGGUGCAGACUAACUAUUAUACUACCGGUACUGGCAACAGAGAGCAAAUCCACGAUCUGGGUUUUGAUUGUUCUGAUGGGUUUCACCGCUACGUGAUCAAGUGGGGUCCUGAUUUGAUCGAGUGGUUGAUUGAUGGCAAAGUUGUGAGGAAGGAGGAGAAGAGGGAAGGUGAAUGGUUUCCUGAGAAGCCAAUGUAUUUGUAUGCUUCGAUUUGGGAUGCAAGUUAUAUUGAUGAAGGGAGGUGGACUGGGAAGUAUGAGGGGUGUGAUGCACCUUAUGUUUGCCUCUAUAAGGAUGUUCAUGUUCCAGCUGAGACUGCCAUUGAUGGUUGACUUGGAAGUUAGUUUGGGGAUUUGGGGUUAUUUGAUUUUGGUGAGUUUCAUGUUUGAAAGUGUGAAUAAAAUAGUUUGGGGAUUUGGGCUUAUUUGAUUUUGGUGUCUUUGUCUGGUGGUGGAUUGAGGAAAAACGGAGGCAUUUUUCGUGGCAAAUUGGAUUUUGGGUUGGUUGACCCGAGAUUAGGAAGAAGUACAAUAAAAAGGUAAUACUUUCGUCACAGAAUCUGAGGCCAGGAUUUUCAUGAAGUGAUUGAAAACUUUUGUACUACAUAUUGCAUCCAAUGUAUUCUGCUUAUUUUUUUUAUUUGUUCAAUGUUAAUUUUCAACCACUCACCUACUUGAUAAUCAUUCAUAAUCUCCAAGCAUAGGUCUGUGUUUUAGCUUUGUUUCAAGUCAAUUUCUUUCAAAUCAAUACCAAAGAGCAUGCUGGAAAGUGAACAGUUAGUCUCCUAGUACUGUCAUGCGCAAAAAUGUGUUCUUAGUGUGGAUUCUCCAUUUCUGGACAUACUUUCUGUUAUUCUUUUUUUUAUUUGUCUGCAUAUGAGAGUACUAUUAAAGAAUGGUGAGAGCUUGGUAUAAUUUUAGAUUUUCACCAUAAUUAUUAUGAAGUCGAUGUGGUUUACAUCUUGAUCUUUUUCUUUUUCUUUCAUAUAUUUCAGAGUAAAUGAUACCAAAGUAGUUAUAGGAAGAUUAAUGCAGGGUUUGAUUUGAUUUUGUUUUCGAUAAGAUUAGUGUCUUUGUAACUUAUAAUUAUCAAACGCACUUGUUUUCUUUCUGAUUAUAGAAGUGCAGUGAAAGUGUAUCACCAUUUUUUUCUUUUAUUUGUGAGAAUGUAGUUUGAGCAAAGUUAGAUGAUUCGUUUUGCGCACUACUAGAAUUGAAGGGGCUUUGUGAUAGUGGAUUUAUUAUAGUGGGAGGAGAGACCUUUUCUGUGUGGUGGAGGUUACAAAAGAAUCCAUUAUGCUUUUAACCCCCCAAAAAAAAAACAAAAAAAAAAAUCAUUUAGGGAGAGAAAAGAAUCCACAUUUGAAAUGGACGUUUAGAGGUAAUUUCACAAAAAGAUUCUAAUUAAAAUAUUGGAGAAGCUUCAAAGUCAAAGUCAACGUAGAGUAUUUCCACCUUCAAUAUGAUUACAUAUUUACCUCAUCUUUUUAUUUGUUCAUUUAUUUUUUUAAAAAAGCUUAUAAUUAUUUUGUUUGUCUUUUUGCUGAAUGGGUUUUCUUCCCUAUGUUACUGG
This is an RNA transcript of Ziziphus jujuba (common jujube), 2143 nucleotides long. RefSeq lists it as uncharacterized. Lineage: Eukaryota; Viridiplantae; Streptophyta; Magnoliopsida; Rosales; Rhamnaceae. The transcript is spliced from 3 exons. The record is from RefSeq and is a predicted model, not a curated record.